CUCUGUCUCAUUCCUCCGCUUGGCUUUGUUUGACGUCUUCCGAGAUGCAGGAAUACUACUAAAGUUGCCCGUUCCGGGCUGCCACAAAGACGACAGCAGUUAUUUAAUAUGAUCCACUUGGCACUUGAAUCACCUACUUGACUGCCAGAAAAGGCAUUUCCUGUCCCUUAUGCAGGUCAAAGGGCAGCAUGGCACAAGCUGGUAAAAGAGCAGCAUGGCACAAGAUGAUUUCAAGAACCCUGUUGGAAGAAUGGAACAAUCACUGCUUGAUUAUGGUUGCCAAGAAAGCGGGAGUCAGUGGAAAAUAUCACAUUAGGAGGUAGCCCUACCCCUCCAUGCAGGUGCCACCAGCAAACAUGGUUGAGUUGAAGCAUACCUGGAUAUUACCUGGCUGACCUUGGUAUUAAAGCAGAAGAGUGCCCAUGCUGAACAGACAUCAGUGGAUCAUAGUUGCCAGACAUAGAUAUUUUUCCACUACUGACAGGAUAUACCAUGGAAAUUCCGCUCGUGUGUACUUUGUUGUACACCACAGAUGGGCACCACAUUACACACGCAGGCAUGGCAGGAGAUGCUGAGUGAAAGAGGCGCUCUGCACUACUUGAGGUGGUGGAGGCGGCAAUGCUUUGCUCAAGGACACCUAGACAAUGCCAACAAAGCAGACUCUCUAUCACAUUUACACCGUGUAGCCAUUUGUCUGUGGUAGGACUUGAUGUUGUUAGAGUUGAGUUUUAUUUAAAAUACAGUUUUAUUAGAAUUGUACUUUUAUUUACAUUUUAAUUUGACUCUAUCAAAAUUUUACAGCUUUGAUUGCAUUGAACAUUAAAUGUGAAUGUACACUUGCGCAACAAUGCAGGGGCCUCUGUUACAGCCAACCCACUCACUGAUCCUGAACCAGCAGACUGCUGAGGCCAAAUUGAAAGUUUUUUUUUUAAGUUUACCUUGUAUGAGAUGAAUAAAAGUGUUUAUUUUAAA
Phycodurus eques (leafy seadragon) is the source of this 972-nucleotide long non-coding RNA. RefSeq lists it as uncharacterized. The transcript is spliced from 12 exons. The record is from RefSeq and is a predicted model, not a curated record. NCBI's taxonomy places the organism in Eukaryota, Metazoa, Chordata, Actinopteri, Syngnathiformes, Syngnathidae.